RNAcentral lists this ribosomal RNA (605 nucleotides) under uncultured bacterium. Its description in RNAcentral is "bacterial SSU rRNA". It matches the Rfam family "Bacterial small subunit ribosomal RNA", at positions 8 to 603 of the family's 1533-position model. The record is from RNAcentral.
AGAGUUUGAUCAUGGCUCAGGAUGAACGUUGGCUGUGUGCCUUAGGUAUGCAAGUCGAACGAUCCUUUUGAGAAUUCCUGAAACUUCGGUUGAUGGUUUUUUCUUUAGGGUAGUGGCAAACGGGUGAGUAAUACAUAGAUAACUUACCUUGAAGCCGGGAAUAGCUCGUCGAAAGACGGGGUAAUAUCCGAUGGUCUCUAUUCACUUCGUGUGUUUUAGAGUAAAGAUUUAUCGUUUCAAGAGAGGUCUAUGUCCUAUCAGCUUGUUGGUGAGGUAAUAGCUCACCAAGGCUAAGACGGGUAGCUGGUGUGAGAGCACGGUCAGCCACCGCGGAACUGGGACACGGUCCGCACUCCUACGGGAGGCAGCAAUUAGGAAUCUUGCGCAAUGGGGGCAACCCUGACGCAGCGACACAGCGUGGAGGAUGAAGGUCUUCGGAUUGUAAACUCCUUUUAUAUGGGAAGAAUAGAUGACUGUACCAUAUGAAUAAGUACCUGCUAACUACGUGCCAGAAGCAUCGGUGAAGCGUAGGGUACGAACGUUAUCCGGAUUUACUGGGCGUAUAGAGAUGCGUAGGCGGUUUGAUAAUUCUUAAGUUAAAGACC